UACCAGCACCCGAGUGGUCGGGACGUUUAUUGGGCCUAAAGCAUCCGUAGCCGGUUCUACAAGUCUUCCGUUAAUCCACCUGCUCAACAGAUGGGCUGCGGAAGAUACUAUGGAGCUAGGAGGCGGGAGAGGCAAGCGGUACUCGAUGGGUAGGGGUAAAUCGUUGAUCCAUUGAAGACCACCAGUGGCGAAGGCGGCUUGCCCAGAACG
This 210-nucleotide ribosomal RNA is filed under the name uncultured bacterium. RNAcentral describes it as "partial 16S ribosomal RNA". It matches the Rfam family "Archaeal small subunit ribosomal RNA", at positions 474 to 687 of the family's 1478-position model. The record is from RNAcentral.